AGUGAACGCUGGCGGUAGGCCUAACACAUGCAAGUCGAACGGCAGCACAGUAAGAGCUUGCUCUUACGGGUGGCGAGUGGCGGACGGGUGAGGAAUACAUCGGAAUCUACUUUUUCGUGGGGGAUAACGUAGGGAAACUUACGCUAAUAACGCAUACGACCUACGGGUGAAAGCAGGGGUUCUUCGGACCUUGCGCGAUUGUAUGAGCCGAUGUCGGAUUAGCUAGUUGGCGGGGUAAAGGCCCAGCAAGGCGACGAUCCGUAGCGGGUCUGAGAGGAUGAUCACCCACACGGGCACUGAGACACGGUCCAGACUCCUACGGGAGGCCGCAGUGGAGAAUAUUAGACGAUGGGGGAAAGCCUGAUACAGCCAUACCGCGUGGGUGAAGAAGGCCUUCGGGUUGUAAAGCCCUUUUGUUGGGAAAGAAAAGCAGCAGGUUAAUACCCCGCGGUUCUGACGGUACCCAAAGAAUAAGCACCGGCUAACUUCGUG
Molecule: ribosomal RNA, 492 nt
Filed under: uncultured bacterium
Lineage: Bacteria
Description: partial 16S ribosomal RNA
Rfam family: Bacterial small subunit ribosomal RNA
Source: RNAcentral